GUAGGGUGCAACGCGUUAAUCGGAAUUACUGGGCGUAAAGCGUGCGCAGGCGGCUUUGCAAGACAGGUGUGAAAUCCCCGGGCCUAACCUGGGAACUGCAUUUGUGACUGCAUGGCUAGAGUCUGUCAGAGGGGGUGGAAUUCCACGUGUACGCAGUGAAAUUGCGUAGAGAUGUGGAAGAACACCGAUAGGCGAAGGCAGCCCCCUUGGGAUGAGACUGGACGCUCAUGCACGAAAGCGUGGGUAGCAAACAGGAUUAGAUACCCUGGUAGUCCACGCCCUAAACGAUGCGAACUAGGUGUUGGGGAAGGAGACUUUCUUAGUACCGCAGCUAACGCGUGAAGUUCGCCGCCUGGGGAGUACGGUCGCAAGAUUA
This 376-nucleotide ribosomal RNA is filed under the name uncultured bacterium. RNAcentral's name for it is "bacterial SSU rRNA". It matches the Rfam family "Bacterial small subunit ribosomal RNA", at positions 527 to 896 of the family's 1533-position model. The record is from RNAcentral.